RNAcentral lists this ribosomal RNA (505 nucleotides) under uncultured bacterium. RNAcentral describes it as "partial 16S ribosomal RNA". It matches the Rfam family "Bacterial small subunit ribosomal RNA", at positions 28 to 507 of the family's 1533-position model. The record is from RNAcentral.
GACGAACGCUGGCGGCGUGCCUAAUACAUGCAAGUAGAACGCACAGUUUAUACCGUAGCUUGCUACACCAUAAACUGUGAGUUGCGAACGGGUGAGUAACGCGUAGGUAACCUGCCUGGUAGCGGGGGAUAACUAUUGGAAACGAUAGCUAAUACCGCAUAAUAUUGAUUAUUGCAUGAUAAUUGAUUGAAAGAUGCUAUUGCAUCACUACCAGAUGGGCCUGCGUUGUAUUAGCUAGUAGGUGAGGUAACGGCUCACCUAGGCGACGAUACAUAGCCGACCUGAGAGGGUGAUCGGCCACACUGGGACUGAGACACGGCCCAGACUCCUACGGGAGGCAGCAGUAGGGAAUCUUCGGCAAUGGACGAAAGUCUGACCGAGCAACGCCGCGUGAGUGAAGAAGGUUUUCGGAUCGUAAAGCUCUGUUGUAAGAGAAGAACGGGUGUGAGAGUGGAAAGUUCACACUGUGACGGUAUCUUACCAGAAGGGGACGGCUAACUACGUG